AAUAGUCAUAGAAGGGUCAUUAACUUCCAAUUAUGUUAUAAACACUAAUAUAUGUUAAUAUUAUUCACUAU
RNAcentral lists this transfer RNA (71 nucleotides) under Fusarium culmorum CS7071. Lineage: Eukaryota; Fungi; Ascomycota; Sordariomycetes; Hypocreales; Nectriaceae. The record is from RNAcentral.